GACGUAGGGCGCGAGCGUUGUCCGGAUUUAUUGGGCGUAAAGAGCUCGUAGGCGGCUUGUCGCGUCGGCUGUGAAAACCCGCGGCUCAACUGUGGGCGGGCAGCUGAUACGGGCAGGCUGGAGUUCGGUAGGGGAGACUGGAAUUCCUGGUGUAGCGGUGAAAUGCGCAGAUAUCAGGAGGAACACCGGUGACGAAGGCGGGUCUCUGGGCCGAUACUGACGCUGAGGAGCGAAAGCGUGGGGAGCGAACAGG
Molecule: ribosomal RNA, 253 nt
Filed under: uncultured bacterium
Lineage: Bacteria
Description: partial 16S ribosomal RNA
Rfam family: Bacterial small subunit ribosomal RNA
Source: RNAcentral